RNAcentral lists this ribosomal RNA (723 nucleotides) under Vibrio sp. 13B03. RNAcentral's name for it is "bacterial SSU rRNA". It matches the Rfam family "Bacterial small subunit ribosomal RNA", at positions 33 to 735 of the family's 1533-position model. The record is from RNAcentral. Lineage: Bacteria; Pseudomonadati; Pseudomonadota; Gammaproteobacteria; Vibrionales; Vibrionaceae.
ACGCUGGCGGCAGGCCUAACACAUGCAAGUCGAGCGGAAACGACACUAACAAUCCUUCGGGUGCGUUAAUGGGCGUCGAGCGGCGGACGGGUGAGUAAUGCCUAGGAAAUUGCCUUGAUGUGGGGGAUAACCAUUGGAAACGAUGGCUAAUACCGCAUAAUGCCUACGGGCCAAAGAGGGGGAUCUUCGGACCUCUCGCGUCAAGAUAUGCCUAGGUGGGAUUAGCUAGUUGGUGAGGUAAUGGCUCACCAAGGCGACGAUCCCUAGCUGGUCUGAGAGGAUGAUCAGCCACACUGGAACUGAGACACGGUCCAGACUCCUACGGGAGGCAGCAGUGGGGAAUAUUGCACAAUGGGCGAAAGCCUGAUGCAGCCAUGCCGCGUGUAUGAAGAAGGCCUUCGGGUUGUAAAGUACUUUCAGUUGUGAGGAAGGGUGURUMGUUAAUAGCUKYRKMUCUUGACGUUAGCAACAGAAGAAGCACCGGCUAACUCCGUGCCAGCAGCCGCGGUAAUACGGAGGGUGCGAGCGUUAAUCGGAAUUACUGGGCGUAAAGCGCAUGCAGGUGGUUCAUUAAGUCAGAUGUGAAAGCCCGGGGCUCAACCUCGGAACUGCAUUUGAAACUGGUGAACUAGAGUGCUGUAGAGGGGGGUAGAAUUUCAGGUGUAGCGGUGAAAUGCGUAGAGAUCUGAAGGAAUACCAGUGGCGAAGGCGGCCCCCUGGACA